Molecule: ribosomal RNA, 1372 nt
Filed under: Triticum aestivum (bread wheat)
Lineage: Eukaryota; Viridiplantae; Streptophyta; Magnoliopsida; Poales; Poaceae
Description: partial small subunit ribosomal RNA
Source: RNAcentral
UAGCCUGCCUUCCGUCGACAGCCUUGCGCGCGUCCUAUCUAAAAGGGGUGUGUAGAGCUAUGUCGGUCGCCGCGUAGAGCGGCGGCUUCUUCAGGCGUCAAGUAGUUGCGUCAGGCGUCAAGGUAGAGAGACGGUGGAGGGUGGGCGGAAGCGGAACACGCGAUAGCUCGACGAUGUGAAGCCGUUAAGGAGACCCCAUACAACAUCUACCUACAACACCGUGAAAGACUCUUACGUGGAACUCUUCUACCACGUUCCUCUUCGACACUGCUGUUUAGCUAGCGACAUAACAGUCUGGCCUCUGGUUCAAUGUUCUUGAACGUCCAAGAUGUAUUAGUAAAGUAAGGAGUAGUUAAGUCACUCGAUCUUCUCGCCGUAACCGUCUAACUUGACGUUUCCUUAGUUCACCUUUGUGAACGGUUGACCUUACAUGAGAUGGUUCCCGCGGAUGUAUAUCUACUAUGUACACAGAGUUUCUUCAACUUCUUAUGUAUGUCGUAGUGCGGUUAUUGUAUGAGACUUUGGAGUUUGCCCUCCCACCACGAAAUUACCGUCCAACCACAUAUUUGCCUUCCCACCACGAAGUUCUCCAGUCAAUUCGCACCUUUCCCGAAAAAAAGUUCUGGCUCUCCGUAGAGAUGUUCCCACUAGAGUUCCUUACUGUCUUUGAACCACUGUUCUCAUGUUCUCGACUAACUAGGUCACUGUUUACAUACCCUACCCGUCUUUUAGUAGUUUUAAGGCCAGGUACUAGUUAAACUACUAGUUGGACGGACCGUGAUACUGUUUUCUCCGAAUAAGGGCCAAUUUAGUCGGAUGUUUCACCGAGCUCUAUCUUCGUUUCGUGUACUUAGUAAAGCUCCUAACCGUUGUUGCAGUUUAGGACGAUGGCUAUUAGUCCAAAAAAUUACUUUCUUUGAUAUAUACCCCUGAUAGAAAUGGUUUGUUUCAUAACGUGAAAGAGACCUCCAAUUGGUGGUGAUCAAGCGGUUACACUGUUUUUGAUUUUUGCUCUCCGCACCUACAUCUUUGUUCCACUGGAGAAACAAAUUCCAACCUGCUUCUGCUUCCUGAUGAACUUCGACACGUUCCACGAACCUCGACCUUUAAACAUUAAAAAAAGAUUGAGACACCGCGUACUUUAUGUCAUCAGACAGAAAAUAAUAAAAACUCUCUUUAACCGUCACCUCUUACACAUCAAAGUUAUCUUUCUCCGGGACCAGACCAGUACGGUCCGGACUAUGUUUUGCCUUGAUCAGUACUAGUUACCCGUUAGACGGGUCGAGUUAGAUACGAUUGAACACAUUAACAACAUCUACGUAAGUUUAGACUUCAACCACAAUUAACUGAACACAUAAACCACCAAAAAGGA